This 2733-nucleotide ribosomal RNA is filed under the name Triticum aestivum (bread wheat). RNAcentral's name for it is "partial small subunit ribosomal RNA". The record is from RNAcentral. Lineage: Eukaryota; Viridiplantae; Streptophyta; Magnoliopsida; Poales; Poaceae.
AUGCCGAGCCAGCAGAUCCCGGCCACGCCGGUCGGCGGCAUCACCUCCCGCCGCCACGCCAAGCUCCUGCUCCACCUCGUCGAAGGGGACGGGGGUGCCGCCGCCGGCGGCGGCGCGUCCGUCAAGGACCUCCGCCUCCGCCGCGUCGUCCCUCCCGCGUCCGCGACGCUCGACGUCUCCCCCGAGUGCGCCGCCGCCGCCGCCAAGCCCGGAUCCGUCCAGAUCCAGAGCACCCCGCCGGAGCCGGCGGCGGCGGCCGAAGACCGCGAGAGGAAGCCGAUCCUGCCGCGGUCCAAGCUCGUGCGCGACCCGGGCUCCUUCGGCUACCGGAGGCUGCUCCCUUUCCUCAACCAGAUGGCCAACAAAGGUUCAGAUAUCUCAAGCGUCAAGGACAUGCCCUCGGAAAACAAGGUUCCCAUCCCAAACAAGGAGCUCAGCAGAUCUGACUCUGGGUUGGCUGAUGAGAUGCCUCCUGUGGUUGGGAGUCAAGGCGGAGCUGCUCCUGUGGGUUCCGUGGAGCCGCCUGUUGUGAAGGAUGGAACAGACAGUGAGAUCUGUGACAGUGUCAAAGAAGAAACCAAGGUUGUCGUCCCUGUUGAUCUCGCAAGCAGCAAGCCCUCUCUUGCCCGCUGCACGAGGUCAAAGUUUGUUCAUCACCCGAGCUCAUUCAGCUACAAGAGGAUGCUGCCAUUUCUCAUGGAGAACGACAUCUCCUCUCAGGAAGGAGACAGGGCCAAGUUCAGAAGAUUGUCUGAAGAGAAACAAAUUACAUCUGACCAGAAUGAUGUCCAGGCCAGUGGACAGAUCCAGCCUGCCACUGUAGAAGUUUCUCUGGAUGCCAGUGCAGCUGAAGUGCAGAAAGCCACACAAGGAGAAGAGCUAGCUUCAGUUGGAGACCCAUUGUCUUCAGAGAAGGGUGCAUUAGCAUCAGAUGCUGUCCCAGCCGGUGGACAGCGCCAGCCUCCUGUUUCAGAAGACACUCCUGAUGAAGGAAAUGUAGCUGAAGUUGAAAGCACCGUGGAAGAGAAGGCGUCAAAAUCAGAUGAGAAGCCUGUUCCUAUGGAUUCUGUAGAGCCACCUGUUGUGAAGGCUGAAGGAACUCAGGAGGUGAAGGAUUGCUGUGACAGUGCCAAAGAGGAAACCAAGAUUGUACCUGGUGAUCUUGCAAGCAGCAAGCCGUCCAUUCCCCGCUGCAUGAGGUCAAAGUUUGUUCCCCAUCGAAGCUCAUUUAGUUACAAGAGGAUGCUGCCAUUUCUCAUGCAGAAUGUGUGCUGUUGUCUUUCUGUAUCAGAAACCUCUUCUCAGAAAGAAGACAUGGCCAAACUUCAAACAGUCUCGGAAGAGAAGCAAUUAGCAUUGCCUGAAAAUGAUGUGUUGGCUAGUGGAAAUCAUCUUUCUGUCUCAGAAGGCUCUCCUGAAGCAUGCUACCAAGCUGAACUUGACAGAAUUGUAGAAGAAAUAUCAUUUAUACCAGAUGAGAACUAUCUUUUGAAGGGUGUACAGCUUCAGUCUGUUGUUCCAGUUACAGAAGUCUCUCUGGAUGUCAGUACAGCUGAAAUGCAGAAAGUCACACAAGAAGUGUUGGCUUCAGAUGGAGACCUAUUAUCCCCAGACAAGGGUGAGCUAACAUUGGAGAGGAAUGAUGUCCUAGCUGGUGGUCAGUGUCAGCUUGCUGUCUCAGACGGCUCUGCUAAGGAAAGUGAUGUAGCUGAAGCUGAGAGGAUAGUUGAAGAAAAGGCAACAAAAUCAGAUGAGAAUUCUGUACUUAAUGGCAAAGAUAUCCAGUCUGCUGUCUCUGAAGUAUCUCCUGAGGAUGGCGAUACAGAUGAAAUGAAAGAGGUAACAGAGAAACCAGCAUUGACUGCAGAUGGAGAUGAGUCAAGUGGAUUAGCAGCAGACAAGGGUGAGUUUCUGAUGAAAGAUCAGCCUCAGGCAUGUGGCUCAAAGGAGUUACAAUGCAAUGCUGAUCUUGCUGUAGCACAACAAUGCCAGAGCCCAGAGUCAGGAUGUUCUAUCAAGACAGUAAUGGUGGAUGGUGGAGCUGAUCCACAUGGCGCACCAGAGAGACAUGAUUCUGUGGCUUCUCUUGGUGGCCUACUGCUUGAUGUGGGAAUGAUCAGCAAGCCUUCUGAACCUUCUAUUGGCUCACCCUUAUCAGCAGAGGGAAUGUCUGGUUGUGUUGCACAUGCUGAAUCAGGGUUGAGUAAAGUGGGCACACCGUCUCCAUUGGGUUCUCCUUGUUUGGAACAACAACGCCUUUCUCCGAAGAUACCCUCCCCUAGCAGUGGCGCUUUCAGCGGCGCCUCUUUUCUGAAGAAACGGGGCUUUUCUCCGAAGAAACUUUCUCCAAAGAAGGGAAUACUUAAGAGGCAUACAAUGGGGUGCAGGGGCAUCUGCAUGUGCUUGGACUGCAGCGUAUUUCGUCUACAUGCUGAUAGAGCUUUUGAGUUCUCUAGGAAGCAAAUGCAAGAGGCAGAUGAUAUAAUAGUGAACUUACUGGAGGAGGUGGCAAGUCUUAGGAGUCUGGCGGAGAAAUCUUCUGGCCAACAGGAGCAGAUGGAAGCUUGCCAGAGGGCGUUGCGGGUAGAGGAGGUGGCCAAGGAGCGCCGGCAGCAGAUGCUGGCUGAGCUCAACUCUCACUGCAAAAUUCCUGGCCCAAGGGUGAAAUUCGCUCAGUACGUCGAGGGAAAGAUGGCCUCUUCUCCUUCCAGCAGCAGCAGCAGGAGGCAAUAA